Long non-coding RNA from Hyla sarda, 503 nucleotides. RefSeq lists it as uncharacterized. The transcript has 3 exons. Lineage: Eukaryota; Metazoa; Chordata; Amphibia; Anura; Hylidae. The record is from RefSeq and is a predicted model, not a curated record.
UGCACCACUCUUCCUCUGCACAGGCUUCGAUAAAUCUCCCCCAAUAUUUUGUUUUUAUACUUUCUGUCAGGUUCCCCCACAGAUUAACACAACUACAAAAAAUUAUAGCUAAAAUAUUCAAUCUUUUAUUAGAAAAUCACCUUAAAAACCCUAAUAAAAAAAAUCGUCUGGAAAAAUAAUACCCCGCAGAUUACAGGUGAUUUGCCAGGGGAUCCAUGUAUCAUUUCGGGAGGUAAGAAAAUGAUUAGCCAAAGACAACAAUCCUGAGGCAUUAAAUCAUCUAACCAACUCAAUUCCCGUUUCGUAAAGAAAAAGUCCAUUAGUUUCCGUACAAACACCAAUGCCAAGACCUUGUCAAAGAAGCAAAUAGCUAAGUUAAUAAUGCAAAUUAUAGAUCAAUAAAGAGCUAGUCAAUACAACUUCUCACCAUCAUAGGAAACACAAUGGCUGCCCGAGAUGCUUUGAUGACCCAGAGGAGUACGAGACAAGUCAGCUGCAACACG